Molecule: ribosomal RNA, 441 nt
Filed under: uncultured bacterium
Lineage: Bacteria
Description: partial 16S ribosomal RNA
Rfam family: Bacterial small subunit ribosomal RNA
Source: RNAcentral
CCUACGGGAGGCAGCAGUGGGGAAUAUUGCACAAUGGGGGAAACCCUGAUGCAGCAACGCCGCGUGGGUGAAGGAGCGUUUCGGCGCGUAAAGCCCUGUCAGCGGGGAAGAAGAAAGACGGUACCCGACCAAGACGCCCCGGCUAACUACGUGCCAGCAGCCGCGGUAAUACGUAGGGGGCGAGCGUUAUCCGGAAUUACUGGGUGUAAAGGGAGCGUAGACGGCAGCGCAAGUCUGGAGUGAAAUGCCGGGGCCCAACCCCGGAACUGCUCUGGAAACUGUGAAGCUGGAGUGCAGGAGAGGUAAGCGGAAUUCCUGGUGUAGCGGUGAAAUGCGUAGAUAUCAGGAGGAACACCGGCGGCGAAGGCGGCUUACUGGACUGUAACUGACGUUGAGGCUCGAAGGCGUGGGGAGCAAACAGGAUUAGAUACCCCAGUAGUC